Molecule: non-coding RNA, 7930 nt
Organism: Struthio camelus australis
Lineage: Eukaryota; Metazoa; Chordata; Aves; Struthioniformes; Struthionidae
Source: RefSeq, a predicted model, not a curated record
UUUCGUUCAAGGCGCGUCCGAAGCCACGGGCCGAGGCUUUUAACCUACCUCGGAAACGCUCGCUCGCUUCUAAAACGCUCUCCUGAUCCUGAGCAACCCCUCGGCUCUCCGCAAAAGCAGGGACCGCGGCUGGCAGAAGCGCAGCAUCUCUCCUGAGCGCGCCGACAGCGGGAGCAGCAGCAGCAGCAGCAAACACAAAGAAACACCAGACUCGGUAAUCCUGCAAGCACUUCUGCCAUUCUGGCAUGUUUCUCUUGCCCAUCUCUGUCCAGAGCUUAGAGGGUCAGUAAUAUCAUGGCAGAAAGCGAAUGGAUAUGAGGUUGCCAAGGGCUGGACAUGUUGUAAAGCAAGUAUCUCAAAGCAGAAAGAAGUGUCCCAGGCCAAACAGCUGUAGAUAUACUUCCAGCUGCUCAGUUCUCCGGAAAAGGGACACGUGAACUGCACCUUCAAAAUCUCUCUUCCAUAAGGCAGGAGCCAGCCGGUAAACACUUAAUACGUAGUUGAACACUGCACACCUGUGUUUCUAUUGACUUUUAAGGUGAAUGAAUAGGAAAUGUAUUCCUGACGCUAGUUGAACUGGUGCUUUGAUCUGCUACUGCAGGGAGUAAUCAACCAAUAACUUAGAUUUUUAGUGAACUGCCACUGUUUGGUAGACAAGAUUAUGGCAAGUGGUCUGUUAAUGAAUAUUCCUGUGCGAGCACGUGGGCUGCUUGGCGUAAGGGUGGACCUGCGUGGGGCAGGACAGGGGAGGCUCGUGCGUGCUCAGAGGAGGAUCGGUGCUGGUAGCGGUGAUGCAUUACACGGUGAGGGCAGGGGGUAUGCAUUUCACCACGCUGCUUGUAUUUUAGACGUGGCUGUCCACAUUGCACUGCACAAACACUAUCAAAGAGGAACUAAUUCCAUUAUACGUUAUAUUCUUGUUUUGGUAUAAUGCUAUUGAAAUGAACGAACUUUCGCGUGUCUCAGAGUAGGGCAACGAGCUGAAAUGAAUCAAGUCUAGCAUCCCAUCCUGUGAGCAAGGGUCAGGUACAAAUCCAGCACUGGUUUGCCCCCUUUGUGUUUUUCAAAAGUUCAGAUUCAGAUUGGAAUAGAGGUGAGCAAAGGUACAUUUCCACUGCUAACAACAGAGGGCAAGUCUGGAAAUGCAAGGGCUUUGCUCAGGCUGUAGACAGUGAAUGGAGAUGUGUCGCAGGAGGGUCAUGACUCCUAAAGAUAACAGUUGUUUGUGGUCCUGAGAUGAUUCCCAUUGUGUAUUUCUUUCUUUUACUGAAGAGAUUUGCUCAGCCAAAUACACACUGUUCAGUUCAGGCACUAGAAUUCCCACUGAAACCCCUGUAAAGGUUUACCCCAGGGUCUCUUUUAAGGUGUUUUUUUUUAAGAGAAGAGGAUGCUGGGACAGAGCGUGAGGCCAGAAGUGUAGUCAUGCAGGGGUCCACAGCCAGAGAGAGCUGCUCUGCAGGAGUGGAUCAAGUCCUUGGUAGCAGACAGCAUGCCAUGUUCAGUGCCACGCACUGUCACCACCAGCGGGCUGCUGACAGAUCCGGCCUUGAAAACAAACUGUCAAGGAAGGAGCUUGAGGUAUGUGUGAGAUUUGGGUGGACUGAGAUACGUUUUAUGGUUUUCAAUACUCUGAAGUACUACCUGAGCAGUUUUCUUGAUCUUAGCCAGCAUGCUGAGUUAUGUACCAGAGCUGCUCUCACUGAAACCUCUAGACAGCGCAUAAAGGGUAUGUAUCAUGCUGUACAGCAGCAUACCAAUAAUCCAUCUUCCCUCUUUACUAAUCUAACUUAGGUACUGGAAUAACAAAGUACGUAGUCCUUUCUCUGAGCGUGCUUUAUGCAAAAUCAGAGCCUGGGCUAUAAGGAGGAUAUUUGGAAAUUGGGCUUCUCCUGUCAUAUUUAGGACAGAGAAAUAUCCUCCUUUCCUUGUGGGAGUCCUUCUAGUGACCAGCAUUGACAGGGAAGUUACACAAGACAGUGACCCAAAUACAGAUGAAUCCUGAGGCUUUCCAAAGAAGCUUUCCACAGGAAGGGGAACCUAAGCCUGGAAAUCCCAGCAUAGGAUGGUGAUGUGUUGCAUCAGUUUUCAUUCCUGUGCAGCUUUUACUGGACUAAUAUCCAGACUGUGCGCAAGAGGAAUGGAAACCAGAAGCAGAUGUGAAGAGUGCAGAGUUCCUUCGGUAGGUCAGAUAGAAAGCCCAAGCGUUUGGGGUUUGGUUCAACUCAUGCACUGAUCCUGAGCCAGAAGCAAGCACAAAUCCUCUAGCAGACCACGGGCAUGAAACACCCCUGGGAGCAGCAGGAAAGGACAAAGCAUUUAAGGCAAGGGAAGAACUGAGGCAGAGGCCUGCUGGGAGUCCUGUACAGCGCUGCGUGUGGUAGGGCAGAGAGAUACAUCCCCUGCGGUAUAGAUGCUGGGCCAAGGAUUACAUAGGUGUGCAUGGGGAUGCAGCAUCUGCUUGAGCCCAAACACAGCCUGCGGGACUGCCUGACCCCUCAUCUGCCAGCUGACUUCCUCCCUACCCUGCUGCAGGCUGCACCCCAGCCACUUCAUUUCCUCUGCUGUAGGGCAGGUAUUUGUGAAGGACUUUGUCAGGGCUGUUGUCCGUAAUGUGGCUUGCAGCAGUCUUGCGGUAAUGGCUGAAAACCUUUGCGUACCCAAGUUGCGUGCGUGUGGUAUAGUUCAGAAUAAGCUUGGAACCGUACAAGUUGCAUGCAGACUAGUGGUUCAGUGCUUUGCACUGAUUUUUUUUUUUUGUUGUUGGCCUGGUUUCUCCAUUAUUUCACACCAUAUGUUGUCAGUUACGCUGAUGGAACAAGAGUAGAAAAUUAACACCUUUCUGAUUUGGUAGCAUUUUGCUGUGGCUUUCCAUUGGCACAAAAAGCAAGUAUAAGUAGCAACGCUGUGCAGAAUGGUUUCCCUGCCUGAAGACAGCUCUGCUAAUGCCGGCCUGGCAAAACAGAACUAUAAACGCAGUGAGGUCCCGAGGUUUCUUUCCACUGCAGAGACCAAGUGAUGCUCCUGAAAAACUAUGGAAAAACAGUUACUGACCUUAACUCCCUUCCAGCAUCGAUUCAUUUUUCUCUUGGUUUAAUGUUGAAAACAAAGUUGUAACUCAGUCACGGACUGUGGAAUUCAUCCCAGAAGAAACGCAAGGACCACCAACAACGUGGACCAGUAAAUCACCUCAACCACCGCUGUAAUGCAGCCACUUCUGGAUAAAAUCACUCUGGUGUGAGCAAACAUCUACCCUUCUAAAGCAAGGAUAUGCAGGAAAGGAAAAAAAAAAAACCCUCCAUUUUGGUAUUUGCACUGGAUAUUGCUUGAAAAGCUCAUAGCAGUGAGAGGAGAGAGGCUGUGCUAUCACUCAGGACCUAGCUAAGCCUCUGGCAUGUUCGGUCACCCUCUGACUCCACACAGUGUUUCUGGGUUACUUCAGUGAGAAAAUAAGCAGAAUUCAUGAGCUUCUGUCUUCCUUUGGAUCCGUUCUUACUUCCCUCCCUGCCUCAUUCGUCUCGUCUGCUUGGUCUGACAAUCGUGAUAAUGUCCUGAACACCUGCUGCUGUGGAAACUCUUCUGAUGUCAUUUUCUGAACACAGUGACUUCAGACACAUGGAAUGAUGAGCAAAUCAAGAUGAACCUGAAGUGGAAUUCUGGCAGAAUUUCUCGUCCAGCCUCAGCUACAAUCCGGGUGACUGAUUUGAGUUGGCGAGAUAACCUAAAUCCCAGUCCACUGAUUAAAGAUGAUGGAGAGCUACUUAUGGAUGAAUACCUUACCCCCAGGAAACUGAAAGCUUUGGCAGGGGUAGAUGAUCUACAGCAAGUGAAGGCUCUAGAGAUGCGAGUAGAUACAAGAGAGAACAGCUUGGGGAAUUUUGGUGCCUAUCUACCUAACCUGAGAGAACUGAAACUGAACAAUAGCUUGCUUGCAUCUGUGAGCACCAGCUAUUGGAGACAAGAUUGGCUACACAGGAAUCUCUACUCCCUUUUCAAAAAGUUUGAAGCCCUCCUUAGUUGUGAAAAGAGGACUAAAAAAGUGAACCAAGUGACUUGAGUGAGGAUUUUGCUGAUGAUUUCAUGACUUUAAGAAACCAGAGCUGAAGUAAUUCUUUUGUAACUGGGAGGAAGAAGGUCUUUAAUGUUUAAAAAUAUUUUUGAGAUCUGAAUCACGAUCUUUGGGCAUUUGAAAUUAGCCAUGUUAUUCCUUGGUGCUCAUCCAACUCAGAUAUCUGAAAGUCACAAGUCUCACGUUGAAAACUGAACACCCGUCCAAAUGCUUUGUUGCAUCAGAACCAAAUUGCUCUGUGCUGUAUAUGACUGAGCUGUAAUGUUGGUCACCAAAAAACUGAAGUACUACUGGUGGUGUAUGUCCAGGCAUCUGCUGUUUGAUGGACAGCUUUAAACAGAAGAUGUUUAGGGGCAUUGUUCCCCUUAAUCCGUUUUUUCUUCCUAUCAUUUUCACUAAUUCCUUUCCGUGCUAUAUUUUCUUCAGUUUGCCCUUUUUUUCUUCUGCCUAAGGACAUUCAUAUUAUUGAUGCAAAGUAAUGAUUUUGGGAUAGAAAUAUGGUUAUUUUCAGCUAAGUAGAUUCUCUUCAAUAAAGCACAGGUAGCCAGUCUGCAUGAGAUUCCUAGGGAGACCUGAUUCCUUUGAGCGUUUAACAAUUCUAGGUAGACCACCUCAAAGAUGCCUAGCUCUCCUUUGGUUAGGAAGGAAGUUUAAUGCUCCUAUCCUUUCUCAUUUUAAUUUCACCAUAUUAGCUGCUCAGAGUAGAUAGUAUUAAUGUCUUUUUGGCUUUAAAUGUCUGGGACUCUGAUGGGCUGAUUCACCAGCAAGGGAAGCUGAACUUGUUUUCUGUUUUUACAAAAAAAAAAAAAAAAAAAAAAAAAAAAGCAAGCACCAUUUUGGUUCUGGAGCUCAGGCUUUUCUUUAUUUUGCAGCAUGUCUAGAGGACAUCAGAACAGGUCUUUGGCCUUGCAGUGUCUUUCCAUGGUUCUUGUCUCCAGCAUGCUACGUUUUAUGUAGCCUUCCCCAGUUGAAGCUCCCCUGCAACCUUUGUCAGGCUCUCUGCCUGUCAGGUUCACGUGGCCUUCUCCCCAUGCAUUCCUCAAAUUUGUGGUUCUUUCUGAUCGGAUAGUUAGCCUUCUUGUUGGGAACAUUAUAGUAAGAUUAUAUGUAGGAUCAGGUUUAGAAGGCUAGAGAGCUUUUUUUCAGCUUUUUUUUCUCGUAUACUGCAGUGCUUUCUGCAGAAUAAACGAGGCUAGUGAAAGAGCAAAGGAAGUAAAUAAUAGAUAACAGAUGGAACAUGUCUGUCAGUAAAUGCCAGCAAGGUGAUGUAAGCCCAUGAUUUAAUAAAUAAUUGUGCCCCUUCUCUGUUCACCAUCUGAAUGGAAACAGCACUUUUAGUGUAUUUGGAAAAAAGAGAAGGUUGAUUGACUUUUCCUUUCAGGUUGUUACCUCUGCGCUGUGCACCCAUCUGAGAUGAACAGUUCAGCUUUUCUUUACUGCUGCCUCAGGCACUGCCUUGUUAACAUGGCUCUGCUGAAUAUUUGAGCAGUAAAUACCUCUGCUGGAGCCUGGGGUUGUUUACAUGAAGCCCUCCAGCCCUCUGUGUGGUUGAAAUCCUCUUGUUUCCCCUUUUCCAUGUGUAGUUAUCUCUGGGGUCCAGCUUCAGCUGGUGUUGCCCAGCCUGCUGUGGCUCAUCUCAGAGUGAGCACUUACUGAGGUGAGGAUGUUCCUUCAUCAAGAAAAUGCAUAGAUAAAAGCUUUUAUCAUUUCCAAAGGGAACCUCGGAAAUGAUCUAUUAACCGCUGUUUUGUUCUUACAAAUACUGAUUGCUUUCAGGUAGUAAUUAGCUAAGACCUGUCAAUUGUUGUUACUGAAUGAGGAGCAUUUAAGGCACCACAGUCUCUCCAGAUUCCAGUUUCUGGGGUUACAGGUGCAGUUUUACUCUUUGAACCAGCUGGAGAUAGGAAUGGCAGCAGCUUACCCAUAGACUAGAGGGACUUGGUGGCUUUGUGGCUUAGCCACAGGCCCAGAACUUCAAAAAUAGGGUUCAGCUGGUGGGUUAGCCACAGACCUGCCAUGUCCCAGUCAUGGUGCUGGCCUGCUCCCUGUUUGUUCCAUAGCUGUUGAAAAUACAGAGUUUCUGCCUCUGUUGUUUACUUUAUAAAACCUUCAGGGGCAGACGCAGUCAUUUUAACGUGUUAUAUACAGAGCUUUGCCUGAUGGGAUCAUGAUCUCAGUUACAUGCUCUAGAUGCUCCUAUUGUAUAAUAAAUAAAAACAUUAGUAAUAACCAGCUGAUUUCUGCCAGCACAUAAGCACUUACGUGCCCAGCUAUUAAGGUUUGCAGCUGCUACAUUUCAGCUGCCAGUGUCAGAGCUCACUUUAUGGAAAUUUACACCUAAGUGUUUGUUUUAGUCAGUGAUGAGAAGGAAUGGUUGUAAUCAUCACCUCAGAAAACCCAAAGAAUCGGGUUGGGAAGCCGUUGUAAUUAGCCUGUUGCUGGUGGAGCUAUACAGCUUUCAUAGUCUCCAUAACAACCGUGGUCCAAGCAGCCAUCAGGAAGGUUGUCCUUGCAGAAAUAGGGAGGAAAAUAAUCUUAGCAUUGGUAUAAUGGGUUUGUAAGUUGUUUUGGCUUUCUCUUUAGUGGCUUGACUACAGGUUACGUUUUCUUUGGAAACAGUUAAAUUCAGUUGAAAAUUAUGGUCUCAGAAUUCAAGGUAAGUACUGAUUAAAAAAAAUAAAGGGGAUAUUAGGCUGCUUGCUUGUAUUCAUCAAUUGGUAACUGCUAAGCAAUGUGAAUGAGUAAUGAAGACAUGAAUAAGAUUUCAGUGCACAAUAGGUUCUUAUAAUCUAAUUUCUGUAAAAUAGUCUUUGUGUAGGAGUUGAUUUAGUUAUUGUUCUUAUCAUCUGUGGACACAUUACCGCACACAGCAGACCUGUUGCUAUUUUUCCCUUAACAUAUGCACACUUUUUUUGGAGAUUUAGUUUUGAUUUGCUGUUGGUUGGAAAGCCUUACUCUUUUGGACUGAGAUCUUUACAGACUGCAUGAGGUCUCUUUGGGAUGGCCAAUACCUACAAAAAGAAAUAAGGAAAUGUCUUCCUGUUUUAGGAAGAGAGAGGUCUGUGAUUCAGCAGGCAGCAUGGUUCCCAUGACACUCCGUGCAUAUCCCCAGCAGGUAUAGCACGCACACGUUCUUCACCUUAAGCUGCGCUGUGCGUUCAUCACAUGGAGCUGAGGACCUGAACAAAAAGAUUUGAUAGAAAGACCUACCACCCGCUUUCAAUAAUAGAUAUUUUAUGAAGGACUGUGUUUGACAGAGCAUUUACGUUAUUCUCUAGUUUGCACUGCAUCAACUUGGCUGUCCUACCAGUCAACUUUAUACUCUCGCUCCUAUUUCUCCUUGCUACAGAAAAGAAUUUAGACAUUUGUUUUGCUGUGUUUAUUGUUGUUCAGUUUAUCUUGUUCUUAGUAAUUGCCCCUAUUAAGGUCUCUCAAACUUUUUUUUGAGGAUGUCGUUCUCAGCAUCCCAAGGUAAAUCCAAUUUUAAAAUGUUGUGUUUGUUCCAUAGGAAUUCACUUAUUUUAAAAAAAAAUUAAGUUCUCUUGCCACAUGUUAAAUUUUGGCCCUAUGAAAAGUAAGAAUUAUUAGCAUAAGUUUCAUCCUUUAUAGAAUAAAGACAUUAAAAUGUGGUUGCUAAGUUAUACUGGAGGAUUAAAAAAAAAGAUAAUAUGCUUAUUUGUAUAAUGAGUCUUACAUUGUUGCUUUAUGUAUUUAAACAAUACAGCCUCCACUGUCUAAAGGACCUUCUGUAAAGUUCAUCUGUGUGAAUAAGCCAAUUAUAUAUAUUUUGGGUGUUUGUUCUCAUCUGCAAAAGGCAAUGAUCUUCCCAUUAUUUUAAGGCAAAAGAGCAUGUUUUUCUGACUA